CCAAACCUAAAAUUCUGAAAAAUUUAUGGAUGAAAUAUAUAUGAUUCUAUAUUCAGGGAAAAUUAACGGCAAGUGAUUUGGAGUCUUGUAGCUCCGAUUAUAAAUAAUUUAGUGACCAUUUCUCAGGAAAACAGCUCGUAGUGAAUAUGUGAUUUUGUUGUAAACAUGGAUAAAACUUGUUUUAGUUGCUCAUAAGCUAUUGAUUAAACCCAUACUUGAAUUCUAAAUCGUGAUAUUGUAAGUUUAUGAGUAUUCGAAUAUGAAAUGAUAGUAUGGCGUAAAAUUGAAUUACCCAUUGGAAAGUGAUGGAUGUAGAUUCGGCCAAGACCAAGUCUGUACAU
RNAcentral lists this long non-coding RNA (341 nucleotides) under Gossypium barbadense (sea-island cotton). RNAcentral's name for it is "long non-coding RNA (GBAR_LNC005228)". The record is from RNAcentral. Lineage: Eukaryota; Viridiplantae; Streptophyta; Magnoliopsida; Malvales; Malvaceae.